UGGUGGAGUGAUUUGUCUGCUUAAUUGCGAUAACGAACGAGAUCUCUACCAAUAAAUAGAUGCUGCUUCCACGUUGUAGGCCGGUGGGGGGGUUGGGCUUGCUUGACUACCAUCCCCCGGCUGAGGAGGCAGAGCUUUUACUUAUUGGGAUUAUGCAUCUUUUAAAUGCAUUGAGACGAGAGCCAAUAGCA
This 191-nucleotide ribosomal RNA is filed under the name uncultured eukaryote. RNAcentral describes it as "partial 18S ribosomal RNA". It matches the Rfam family "Eukaryotic small subunit ribosomal RNA", at positions 1299 to 1458 of the family's 1831-position model. The record is from RNAcentral.